Non-coding RNA from Paramuricea clavata, 381 nucleotides. The record is from the annotation of a GenBank genome assembly. Lineage: Eukaryota; Metazoa; Cnidaria; Anthozoa; Malacalcyonacea; Plexauridae.
CACAGCCAAAUUACCACAAGAAGUUGCACUCACAUGCUAUCUGACAAAGAUAAGAUCUGUGCUAGAAUAUGGAGCAGCAAUUUGGGACGGUUUGGCAGAAUAGUUGCGGUCGAAAUUGAGAGUACGCAAAACAGAUGUCUAAAAAUACUUGGAAUCCAUAGGAAUAAUUUUAAAUCAUUACGAGAGAGAAGAAUUCAUAUUGCUAUGGAGGAACUGAAACGAACUCAAAUUGAUGCUACCCACCCCUGUCAUAAGUUUAUCCCUUUGCCAACAUCUCAUGUUCAUGAUCUGAGAAGAAACUCUAGUAUUCCAAACCCAAUAUCACACACUAAAAGACAUGAACAAUCUAUUAUCCCAAGGGCAAUUGAUCUUUUAAAUAAG